Molecule: long non-coding RNA, 2237 nt
Filed under: Olea europaea subsp. europaea
Lineage: Eukaryota; Viridiplantae; Streptophyta; Magnoliopsida; Lamiales; Oleaceae
Source: RNAcentral
CUUUAAUCAAACAUAUCAACGAAUCCAUGAGAAACAACAAACUUAUAAAAUCAUCCAUCAAAAUAUUUUUUCGUGCUUGACACAUGAGUCAACCGUUUUUACAUGACCGUUGUUACAUCGUUCAAAAUUAUGAUACUCUUACACAAUCCGCAGUAAUCAAUAUCACAAAAAGUAAGUUAAAAAAGUAAUGUAAAAUUACACAUUAAGAGAAAACAGAAUGUUCUUCCAUGCGAAGCCCUAACACGUAUCUCCCUGGACAAAGUAAUGUAGUCUUCAUUGUACCUUCGUAACAAUUAUCUUCCUUUGAAAAUGCAAUUGUUUACUUCUACAUACCAGACACGGGUGUCCAUGUAAGCAACAAUACGCCUCAUGCUAACGAAAAAUGAAUCAAUCAAGCAUAAUGUAGCCCAUAUAAAUGGCAAAUCUCUAUUUAUAGGGGAACUACAACGCAUAGUGAAACAAAUGUGUAACAUAAAAUGCGAAUCAUAGUAUUUUAUACAUGUUACAAUGACAAAUAAAAAAAGUCGUGAUAUCAUAAUAUUCAUAGAUGUUAAUGCAAAAUAUACGUACAGUGUUCGGAUAAGGUGAGAUGGACACGUGGAACAGUUAUGCGCUGAGGAAAGGAACCUUCGUUCCUACAGUUCAUCUAUUAAAAGCUCAUUUGUUGAGAAUUACUGAAGCUAAUUAUCGGGAACGAUAGUUUAGGGACUACUAAAGUGAACUGUCGACAGAUGAUUUGUAAAGAAAUCUACUUUUAAAAGCUAUGGAGCAAUUUAUACUACCAAAUUAAUCGAGGAAAGUUUGAAAGCCAUAAGACUAACAACAUCAAAGCCUACAUCUUCCAAAAGUCAAUCAAAAGUCAACUACUAAGUAAUAUAGAAUUAAAUCUUGAAGGUUCCUUCAUAGAGGAAUAGAUAUUCAGGAACACUGAAUGGAUACCAUAACAAAAUUCAUACAGACCAAUUGUAACUAGCAAAUUGGCAAAAUUUAGAGUUUUUCCAGCCAGAUGGAAUCCAAAGUCACCGAAAAUCCCAACCCAUAACAAGCAGAGAACUACGACAACCAAAGUAACUAAAAAUUUGCUAAGCUUGUGCUACAGAUUCAUAAAGGUAAGAAAACAAAAUGUACAAGAAAAAUUGGAUGUGAAUCAUCGUCUUAUAUGAAAAUGACAUUUAGUGGCACCAAUCAAUUUCAUAAAAACCACACAAAAAAAAUUCCAAAUUUUGAUUAUUCAAACCCACAACACUACUCCCUUGAACCUACAUACUAAAAAGAAUAACAAAACUUACAUAGAAGGAAAAUGAAUAGUUGAAGCCAUGAAAACUCUGUGAGGUCUAAUACGAGCAUCAGAGAAGGACGGAAUUUUGUGGGGCGUAAAGUAAAGUUUCUGUGCUAUUUCUUCCCAAAUUGUUGAAUGAAAAUUACUUAUUGAAAAUUUGGUGCAAAGAGCCAUUAUACAAAGCACGUACACAAUGUAUGGAAAAAGAAAAUCCAUACAUUUCAACCUUUAGGCUUCACAUUACUUACUGCUUCGACGAAUUAUGUCGUCGUCGGUUAAUGCCGGAAACGAAAAUAUCGGUGGCGCCUGAAAAAAUUUUGAAAUUUUCACCGCUCGAUUUGCGAUAGGGACGAAGGACGAAACAAUCAGUGGUUAACAUCCAAUGAAGGUGGAGGCGACCAUUUUGCUUGUGGUUACUAUGUCGUUGGGUAGUCGACGUUAGCUAGGUGGAAUCAAUGGAGGCGAUUUUAAGGUUUCGGAUUGGAAUUUCAUUCUGGCCAGUUAGUUACGAAUUGGGGAAAUGAAUGAAUGAUAGGCCAUUUCUUGUUUUAAAUAAUGGGUCAUUUCAUCUCUUUUUUUCCCAAAAUUUCAUCCUAACAUUGACAAGAUUCUUGUACAAUUUCUUCCAUUGGAUCAAGUCAUUUAAUGAGGACAUGGAGUGUGUUUGAAAUUAUUUUGAGGGUCAAAUAUGUCUAAAAUUGACAUUCUUACAAUGCCAAAAAAAAGUGACAUUUUUGUAAAUGUCUUGGGAAAAUUUGACAACCACUGCAAUUUCCUCAAAAUAGAAAAUAGAAAAUCUUUUAAAGAUGCUCAAAGAGUAUAAUAACUUGAGAAAUACUUUCAUUGAAGUUAAAAUUUUAAAAUUGAACCCACCUUGGGACUUGUGUGGUAUCAGAGUCAACAAGCUCAAAGAACAAUUUUCGAUCCGUCUAGAGUUCAAAUGAGCAAUCGGAUUUUG